Molecule: ribosomal RNA, 448 nt
Filed under: uncultured bacterium
Lineage: Bacteria
Description: bacterial SSU rRNA
Rfam family: Bacterial small subunit ribosomal RNA
Source: RNAcentral
UGGGGAAUUUUGGACAAUGGGCGCAAGCCUGAUCCAGCCAUGCCGCGUGAGUGACGAAGGCCUUAGGGUUGUAAAGCUCUUUUGGCGGGGAAGAUAAUGACGGUACCCGCAGAAUAAGCUCCGGCUAACUUCGUGCCAGCAGCCGCGGUAAUACGAAGGGAGCUAGCGUUGUUCGGAAUCACUGGGCGUAAAGCGCACGUAGGUGGGCAGUUAAGUCAGGGGUGAAAGCCCGAGGCUCAACCUCGGAAUUGCCUCUGAUACUGGCUGUCUAGAGUUCGAGAGAGGUGAGUGGAAUUCCUAGUGUAGAGGUGAAAUUCGUAGAUAUCAAGAGGAACACCUGAGGUGAAGACGGGUUGCUGGGCUGACACUGACGCUGAGGCGCGAAAGCCAGGGGAGCAAACGGGAUUAGAUACCCCGNGUAGUCCCUGAGCGGGCUGGCAAGGCGCAU